This 320-nucleotide ribosomal RNA is filed under the name Staphylococcus aureus. RNAcentral's name for it is "partial 23S ribosomal RNA". It matches the Rfam family "Bacterial large subunit ribosomal RNA", at positions 12 to 331 of the family's 2925-position model. The record is from RNAcentral. Lineage: Bacteria; Bacillati; Bacillota; Bacilli; Caryophanales; Staphylococcaceae.
UAAGGGCGCACGGUGGAUGCCUUGGCACUAGAAGCCGAUGAAGGACGUUACUAACGACGAUAUGCUUUGGGGAGCUGUAAGUAAGCUUUGAUCCAGAGAUUUCCGAAUGGGGAAACCCAGCAUGAGUUAUGUCAUGUUAUCGAUAUGUGAAUACAUAGCAUAUCAGAAGGCACACCCGGAGAACUGAAACAUCUUAGUACCCGGAGGAAGAGAAAGAAAAUUCGAUUCCCUUAGUAGCGGCGAGCGAAACGGGAAGAGCCCAAACCAACAAGCUUGCUUGUUGGGGUUGUAGGACACUCUAUACGGAGUUACAAAGGACG